GGCAUCUGCUUCUGGGGAGGCCUCAGGAAGCUUCCAAUCAUGGCGGAAGGCGAAGGCCAAGCAGGCACAUCACAUGCCCCACAGGUUACUUUCUACUGGAGAAGCUGAGCCUUCAAAGUGUGCAACUUUCCUUUUGUUCUAUCAAGUGAGAGGUGGUACUCAAUCUGGUUUUCCUGGAAAUGCUCUUACAAGCCAGAUGCAGG
Molecule: long non-coding RNA, 203 nt
Filed under: Homo sapiens (human)
Lineage: Eukaryota; Metazoa; Chordata; Mammalia; Primates; Hominidae
Description: HSALNT0300961
Source: RNAcentral